CUACGGGGGGCUGCAGUGGGGAAUAUUGGACAAUGGGGGAAACCCUGAUCCAGCAAUGCCGCGUGUGUGAAGAAGGCCUGCGGGUUGUAAAGCACUUUCGGUUGGGAGGACUGCUUCUAGCACUAAUAUUGUUGGAAGUUGACGUUACCUUCAGAAGAAGCACCGGCUAACUCCGUGCCAGCAGCCGCGGUAAUACGGAGGGUGCAUGCGUUAAUCGGAAUUACUGGGCGUAAAGCGCGCGUAGGCGGCUAGAUCAGUCGGGUGUGAAAGCCCCGGGCUUAACCUGGGAACUGCAUCCGAUACUGUCUAGCUUGAGUACAGGAGGGGAGAGUGGAAUUCCACAUGUAGCGGUGAAAUGCGUAGAUAUGCGGAGGAACACCAAUGGCGAAGGCAGCUCUCUGGCCUGAUACUGACGCUGAGGUGCGAAAGCGUGGGGAGCAAACAGGAUUAGAUACCCCUGUAGUC
This 465-nucleotide ribosomal RNA is filed under the name uncultured bacterium. RNAcentral's name for it is "partial 16S ribosomal RNA". It matches the Rfam family "Bacterial small subunit ribosomal RNA", at positions 339 to 795 of the family's 1533-position model. The record is from RNAcentral.